RNA transcript from Peromyscus californicus insignis, 3479 nucleotides. It is a transcript of the gene named caspase recruitment domain family member 16, with no coding region annotated. The record is from RefSeq and is a predicted model, not a curated record. The transcript has 3 exons. Lineage: Eukaryota; Metazoa; Chordata; Mammalia; Rodentia; Cricetidae.
CAUCCCCAGCCCUGUAGCAGAAAACCUUCUGCCUUCUCCUUCUCCUCUGUCCUCAUCCCCAACAGAUCACAAAGAUCUUCUCCCCAAAACUUCCUUUCCAAGACUCAUCCUAUUAUUCCAGCCCCAACACCAGCAGGCAUUCCCUGUGAACACACCAGCCUAGUAAGCCAGGGAAACAGGUAAGCACACUGAAGACCUCCACCACCCCCUCUUCCCUUCCCAAUCCAAUCCCCCAGUCUCAUCCCUAUCUCUGUAACAAAGCCCAGCUGCAGUCUCCCUUGCAUGUCCCACCUCCCAGGCUACAUUUCCUCUGGAUCCAGCAGAGCAUCCCCUCCCAACUUCCCUUGCACCAUUCCUGGCUUUCCUCCAGCCCCUCCUCCAGCUGGUGCCCCUGCUGACUCACAGACCUCACAGGCCAGAAAACCAGGUCAACUGACUGCAGAUCUUCUCUUCUCCCUCUCUUCUCCCAGAUCCAAUCUCCAGUCUCAUCCUCAGCUCUGCAGCAGGAACAACUGCAGCAGCCUUCCCUGCACCCCAGUUCCCAUCUCCUGUGGAUCCCACAGAUCUUCCCUUUCUAACCUUCCUGCCUUAAACUUGUUGCCUUGUCCCAGCUCAUUCUUUGCUUAUGACUAAGACACACUCCCUUCCUACCAGGAGCGAUUCCAAGUAUUGUGGAAAGAUGGUUUCCAAGGUUGACUCCUUGCCAAACUGAGUUUCAGAAGAGUAAGUCUGAUUAGGGAAGGAAGCAUGCGCACACAUGAAUAGGGGUUAUUGCUCAACCUGCAUUCACGCCCUGGUGGAAAUGGACUUUCAGUUUCAGUAGCUCCGGAUGGUAGGAGAGAAGCACCAUGGCUGACAACAUCCUCAAGGCAAAGAGGAAGCAGUUCAUCCGUUCAGUGGGUCCAGAGACAAUAAAUGGCUUGCUGGAUGAACUUUUGGAGAAGAAAGUGCUGAACCAGGGAGAGAUGGAGAGAAUAAAAGCUGUAAAUGCCACUGUUAUGGACAAGGCACGGGACCUGUGUGAUUCUGUCAUUAAAAAGGGACCUCUGGCAUGCCAAAUCUUUAUCACUUACAUUUGUAAUGAAGACGUCUACCUGGCAGGAGUUCUGGAACUCUCCUAGAGUAAGAACGAAACUCCCAGGAAAAUUUAUUUAUUUAUUUUGCCAAUGUUAACUUUUUUAUUUUCUUAUGUGCUAGUUAAUCUUGACUGUCAAUUUGACCCGUAUAGAUUAUCUGGGAAGAAAGUCUUAGUGAAAUAUUAUCUAGUAUCCAGUUGGCUAUGGAGGACUUUCAAAUUUGUUCAUUGAUAUAGCCAUGCAGUUCACUGUGGGUGGUGCCAUUCCAUAGGCAGUGUAAAAGAGGGUACAGUACUGAAGACAAGCAGGCAAGAAAGUAUCCCUGUGCUUAUUCUCGGUUCUUGACAUUCCUUCAGUAAUAGACUGAAAACUGAGGUGUAUGCUAAAAAAUACCUUUUCCACUCAGUUGAUCUUCGGCAAGUUGUUUUGUCACUGCAUCUGGAAUUAAACUAUAACAGGAAUCAGCUGGUAAUGAGGGUGAGAUUCUUGCUGUGCUCACCCUAAGCAUGUAAGGGAAGGAAUAUGGAGACUUUGGAAUUUUGGCCUGGAUAAGCCAUUGAGUGCAUGGGCAAAGCUUAACAGGCCAUUACAGUGGACAUUUGGAAGAGGAGAAUCUUGAGAGGAAUGUAAACUCUGAAGGCCUAGUUAAUGAGGUUUCAGAGAGAAUGUGCAUCAGCCAUUCAUGUGAGCCUGUGAUAUUAUUAUUAAGGUCAAGAAUCUGUGUCUGCUCUUCAGACUUCAUAUAAAAAACUCAGCUGGGAUUGGUUUCAGUCAGCAUCACUGAGCUGAACCCUUCUGCAAUUCAUUUGAGAUAAUAGAAAAGUAGUUUCUUGGAUCAGCAGAGAAGCUCAUGCAAUUGUGAUGCAAGGGAGCCAGGCUACUUCUCAAAUUCGGAGCAUAUCUUGGUAAUAUAAGUCAUUCACAGAACUGAGUUUGAAGUCAUGAAGGGUUUGUGGCAAGCCAAGAGUACCUGUGGAGAGACAAUGAAGGCCAUUCACAAAAAUGAAGCAUCAAUUGCAAUGGCGAUGAUAAUGGCAAUUGCAAGACAGUGGACAUCCAUCAAGGAGAGCAUCCGGUGUGUAAUAGCAUAGGCCUAAGAGGGAUGCCAUGGGUAUUAUGGGUGCCAAAGCUGAAGGGGUGCUGUUGUGUUGAUUGACACUCCUCCUGGUGAAAGAUAAACAAAUAUCUGCUCAUGCUACAUGGAGAAAUGAGGAUAGAGAAAAGUAAGGGCACAUCAAAUCUCACCUUGCUGAAACGAGGAGUAAUUAAUCAGGGUCAUCUAUAGGACUUGAGAGUGAAGAUGAGAUCUGAUGGACUUCAGUCAUACAGAGCUUCUUUAGGAGUAUGAGUUCUUCUCAGAUGUAAAAAAAACCUUGCACUGAACCAUAUCAUCAUUGGUUCUCUGUUUCAAAUAAAUUUCCGUUUUUUGUUUUUUUUUUUAAAUCAUUUUUUCUUAUGUUUCACAUUACCACUCUAACCGAGAUGAACCAACAUCAUUGAAGGCUUUGGGAGACUGACAAAUUGUUAGUCUUCCAAAUUCUCUUUGCUUCUUGUUCAGAGUUUCAUUAUAAUCCUUAAGAUAUAUCAACUGUUCACUAUGAUAAUUUCAGGCAGUAUGAGCUACAGCCAUGGAAACCAAAUGAAGUCUUCAUUCUGAAAUUUCAGUAACAUUGCAUCCUUGUAAGAUACACACAUACACACAUGCACACACAAAAACACUCUGAUAUUUCAGAUCUGGGUCUAUAGUAAAUAUUUAUUAAAAGUUCACAAGUCAGCCGGGCAUCAGUGGUGCAUGCCUUUAAUCUCAGCACUUGGGAGGCAGAGCCAGGCUGAUCUCUGUGAGUUCGAGGUCAGCCUGGUCUACAAAGUGAGAUGCAGGACAGAUACCAAAACCACAUAGAGAAACCCUGUCUCGAAAAACCAAAAUAAAUAAAUAAAUAAAGUUCACAAAUUUCCUUUACUUUGAAUGCAAUAGAGUAGAUCUGAGGAUGCUUUUGUUAGAAGCAGACCUUCUUCAAAACAUGUGUUUCAAGACGUACUGAUACUGUCUUUCAAUUCCAAUAUGAAGGUGUGGCUGAUGUUGCUUGCUCUCUGGGGAAUAAAGAUGGGCACAGCCAGUACAGUAUAGUGACUUAUCAAGGCUCUGAAUCUUUCUCUGGAGAAAAUUGGCCAUCAUUCUUAGGCUAACUUCUGCUUGCAUACAUAGUGAUAUAUAUCAAGUAUAAUCUUCUAGAAGGUACAGGGCAGGUUCUGAUUCAUUAACUCCUGUCAAUUUCUAAAAUUUCAAGCAUGGAGUAUAGUACAGGAUGGGUGCCAGGAAUGAAAACCAAUACAUUUACUGGAAUAUUAAGCUAGUGCACUUUUGAUGAGCUCUUUAUGAAGCUGAAAUAAAAUCCAAUGUGU